RNAcentral lists this non-coding RNA (144 nucleotides) under Palpitomonas bilix. The record is from RNAcentral.
GGCUGGCUACCUCGACGGUAGCAAGUGGCUCUCUUGAUAGUAACCUCCCACUUCUGUGCAGUGAGCUCGGAGAGAGUGUCGACGGGCAGUAUGUGACGCUGUAUUACGCUCGGGAUGGGAACAAACCGUUUCGUGCCUUUUGCA